RNAcentral lists this ribosomal RNA (491 nucleotides) under uncultured bacterium. Its description in RNAcentral is "partial 16S ribosomal RNA". It matches the Rfam family "Bacterial small subunit ribosomal RNA", at positions 31 to 507 of the family's 1533-position model. The record is from RNAcentral.
GAACGCUGGCGGCGUGCUUAACACAUGCAAGUCGAACGGUGAAGCGCCUUCCUUUUUGGUGGGUGUGGAUGAGUGGCGAACGGGUGAGUAACACGUGAGUAACCUGCCCCCUUCUUCUGGAUAACCGCAUGAAAGUGUGGCUAAUACGGGAUAUUCUGGGUCUGUCGCAUGAUGGGUCUGGGAAAGAUAUUGUUUCGGUGGGGGAUGGGCUCGCGGCCUAUCAGCUUGUUGGUGGGGUGAUGGCCUACCAAGGCGGUGACGGGUAGCCGGCCUGAGAGGGUGGACGGUCACACUGGGACUGAGACACGGCCCAGACUCCUACGGGAGGCAGCAGUGGGGAAUAUUGCACAAUGGGCGCAAGCCUGAUGCAGCGACGCCGCGUGAGGGAUGGAGGCCUUCGGGUUGUGAACCCCUUUCGCCAGUGAAGCAGGCCUGCCUCGUUUGUGGGUGGGUUGACGGUAGCUGGAUAAGAAGCGCCGGCUAACUACGUG